Molecule: ribosomal RNA, 260 nt
Filed under: uncultured archaeon
Lineage: Archaea
Description: partial 16S ribosomal RNA
Rfam family: Archaeal small subunit ribosomal RNA
Source: RNAcentral
AGGGUGUAAACGCUGCAGACUUGGUGUUGGAAGCCCUUUGGGGGCAUUCAGUGCCGGAGAGAAGUUGUUAAGUCUGCUACUUGGGAGUACGUCCGCAAGGAUGAAACUUAAAGGAAUUGGCGGGGGAGCACCGCAACGGGAGGAGCGUGCGGUUUAAUUGGAUUCAACACCGUAAAACUCACCAGGGAAGACUGUUACAUGAAGGCCGAGAUGAAGACUCUGCUAGAUUUUCAGAGAGGUGGUGCAUGGCGUAGACGUCU